UGCUGUAUCCACAGAACCUAGUACAGUGCCUGGCACAGGAGUAAGUGGUCAGUGACUAUUUCUUUAAUUAAUUCGGUGAGUAAGUACAUACUGUGACAUGUGAAGCACAUAAUACAGGGCGUGAUAAGCAGUAAACCCAUUGUAAUUGUUUUCUGCUGCUUUUAUUAUCUGCUUCAUGUAUUGUGGUUCUGCAUAUGAUUUUACUUGGAAAAUAAGGCUGCUACCAAAAUGUAAGUUUAAAGGGAAAUAUCCCAUUUGAAAAAUAAUCUCAGUUUCAGAUUUUUAGUUGUGAAAUGAGGGCAAAUUUUUAAAUGUUUAAUUCUUAAUACUCGGUGUGUAUAAGAUCUUUUGUCUGCAACUGCAAAACAAGCAAGCCAGAAGGGAGGACUAUUAGACUGUUCUUUUUAAUCUCUUAAGCCUUAACAAAGAGGAAGGGAGAACCGAAUUUGAAGAAACUAAAGCAUGAUUGAUCUCUCUCAUCAUUGAAAACAACAUAAACAGAAACACAGUGACUAGUGAGAAUGCUAACAUUCUGGAAUUUAUUUCCAUUUCUGCUCCAGGUGUUGCCACAUCUGCAAGCUUCCUGGGAAAGUAAUGGGGAUUCGAGUGCUUCGUUUCUCUUUGGUGGUCAUCCUUGUAUUACUACUGGUAGCUGGGGCUUUGACUGCUUUACUUCCCAAUAUCAAAGAAGACAAGAUGCUUACUCUGCGUAGGGAAAUAAAAUCCCAGGGCAAGUCCACCCUGGAUUCCUUUACUCUCAUAAUGCAAACAUACAAUAGAACGGAUCUCUUAUUGAGACUUUUAAAUCAUUAUCAGGCAGUACCACAUCUGCACAAAGUAAUUGUGGUUUGGAACAAUGUUGGGGAAAAAGGACCAGAUGAGUUAUGGAAUUCUCUAGGGCCUCACCCUGUCCCUGUGAUCUUCAAACUACAGACAGCAAACAGAAUGAGAAAUCGACUCCAGGCCUUCCCUGAAGUGGAAACCAAUGCGGUGUUCAUGGUAGACGAUGACACUAUCAUUAGUGCCCAGGACCUUGUUUUUGCUUUCUCAGUUUGGCAGCAAUUUCCUGAUCAAAUUGUGGGAUUUGUUCCUAGAAAGCAUGUCUCUACUUCAUCAGGUAUCUACAAUUAUGGAGGUUUUGAACUACAAAUACCAGGGUUUGGAAAUGGUGACCAGUACUCGAUGGUGCUGAUUGGAGCUUCAUUUUUCAGUAGCAAGUAUCUUCAACUCUUUCAGAGGCAACCCACAGCUGUCCAUGCUUUGAUAGAUGAAACUCAAAACUGUGAUGAUAUUGUCAUGAAUUUUCUCAUUGCCAAGCACAUUGGGAAGACUUCAGGGAUAUUUGUGAAACCUGUGAACAUGCGCAAUUUGGAAAAAGAAACCAAUGGUGGCUAUUCUGGAAUGUGGCAUCGAGCUGAGCACUUUCCUCAGAGGUCUUACUGUAUAAAUAAGCUUGUUAAUAUCUAUGAUAGCAUGCCCUUAAAAUACUCCAACAUUAUGAUUUCCCAGUUUGGUUUUCCUUAUGCCAACCACUUAAGUAAAAUGGGAAAGUAAAACAAACAAAAAGAAAUGGGAAAACUGCUUGGUAUUUGAAUACCUUCUUCAUGCUAUAUUGUUUUUUUGUUUGUUUGUUUGUUUUUAAGCAACGUUACAGACUUUCAUCUACCCUAGAAGUCUCUAUAAUAGAAGAAAUAUGCAGCUCUUCUAAGAUAUAAAAUUCAUGUCAACUUCAGAAAACAAAAUUCAUGUUAACUUCAAAAACCAAGAAGUUGAACUUAUUCAUAUAAACAGACCUUUUUGUGAAGAGUUUUCAUCCAGGGAUAUAAUUCCUCGGUCAGCGGUUUAUUGUUUACAUCUUAAGACUGCUCUACAAUUUCUUUGACUCGUGACAUUUGCCUUAAAGGACCUACAGCAAGCUGUUUUCCAGGAUCAGAAACUCAAGAGUCUUUUCUCAGCUUUUUCACUAAAGGUUGAUUGUUUCAAUUUGAAGCCUGAAAUGCCUCUUUAGCAAAAGCCUGUGAUAUAGGGAAAAGCCAUGUGAGGAGAGGAUAGUGUCAAUCCCAUAUGAAAACAAGAAGAAAAUUUGUGGCUACCAGUCUGCCCUUGUGGCCCUUCCAACCAGCUCUUCCAGGACUAACUCAGCCCAGCAUGGUUUUGAGGCAACCAUCAGUGCUUUUAUUUUUAAGUCUGUUGUGCCUGGGGCAUUCAUUUUAGGAGCUGAAGGACAACUAGUUGUUUGCUUGAUUUUUGUUUACUGCAUGGAUCAUAAAAACGCAGCCUGUGUUUAUUAUAUGCAGCAAAGAGAAAAUGUGUUACUAGAUUCAGAUAGUGUAUAUUGUCACUGAAUCUAACCUUAAGAAUGUACAUUCUUAUAUUUUACAUAAAGUAUGUGUUGUUUAAGAAAUGUGUAUAAAAUAGAUUUUGAAAGAAUGAUUAAGUAGAAACUGAUAGAAGUUAAAACCCUUAGUUUUAAAAGAUCUUUAUUGUUAGAGCGUAGGUUAUUCUCAUGGCUUCUAAAAAGGUGUGUGUAUUACACACAAAGUCAAAUGCUUGUAUUUAGAACAUAUUUUUUUCCCACAAAAAUAUUUUUUUCCACAGCACUAUUCAUCAUGAUGAAAUUUCAAUUACAUAGAUACAAGAAAAAAUAAGAACUGAGUCAUAGCAAAAGAAUUCUAUAGUCUGUAUUAGUGUGUUGCCCACUCUCUGUUAUGCGAAUUAGUAUAUGUUUUCCCCCCAUUGUCUGUGUUUAGUCCUUAUUCACUUCUGGGGGCAAAGACUACUUGCCUCUGUCUACCACCCUCUCUUCUACCCUCUCCUCUCCCGCCUCCUUACAUCAUGCCAGUAUAUUCUCAAAACUGCAGUCUGUGAGAAUAUUAAAAUAAUCACGGUUAAUGUUUCAGUAAUGACGUCGUUGUGCAGUUAGUUCAGUAUAUGUUGUUUUUUACAUUAAAGUGUGUGUGUAUCUUAGUGCAGUCAGAUAAAACAGCCAAAAGAACUUGGAACCUCACUAAAAAUCAGUAAUGUCAAUUAUCUGCUUUGUCCAACCUUAGUGGUACUUUUCUUGCAUCUUGGGAUUCUGCUGGCAGAUAAAUAAACUUUUACCCUCCAGAUGUUCUGUGUUAAAAAAAAA
This is an RNA transcript of Galeopterus variegatus (Sunda flying lemur), 3130 nucleotides long. It is a transcript of the gene named exostosin-like glycosyltransferase 2, with no coding region annotated. NCBI's taxonomy places the organism in Eukaryota, Metazoa, Chordata, Mammalia, Dermoptera, Cynocephalidae. The record is from RefSeq and is a predicted model, not a curated record. The transcript has 4 exons.